RNAcentral lists this ribosomal RNA (892 nucleotides) under uncultured bacterium. RNAcentral describes it as "bacterial SSU rRNA". It matches the Rfam family "Bacterial small subunit ribosomal RNA", at positions 504 to 1399 of the family's 1533-position model. The record is from RNAcentral.
CGUGCCAGCAGCCGCGGUAAUACGGAGGAUCCAAGCGUUAUCCGGAUUCAUUGGGUUUAAAGGGUGCGCAGGCGGAAUGAUAAGUCAGUGGUGAAAUCCUACAGCUCAACUGUAGAACUGCCAUUGAUACUGUCGUUCUUGAGUACACUUGGAGUGGGCGGAAUGUGUCAUGUAGCGGUGAAAUGCUUAGAUAUGACACAGAACACCGAUCGCGAAGGCAGCUCACUAAAUUGUAACUGACGCUCAGGCACGAAAGCGUGGGGAUCAAACAGGAUUAGAUACCCUGGUAGUCCACGCCGUAAACGAUGAUCACUCGAUGUUGGCGAUAUACUGUCAGCGUCUAAGCGAAAGCAUUAAGUGAUCCACCUGGGGAGUACGAUCGCAAGAUUGAAACUCAAAGGAAUUGACGGGGGCCCGCACAAGCGGAGGAGCAUGUGGUUUAAUUCGAUGAUACGCGAGGAACCUUACCUGGGCUAGAACGCUGGGCGACCGUCCGGGAAACCGGAUUUCUCUUCGGAGCGGCCAGCGAGGUGCUGCAUGGUUGUCGUCAGCUCGUGCCGUGAGGUGUCGGGUUAAGUCCCAUAACGAGCGCAACCCCUAUCAUUAGUUGCCAUCAGGUCAUGCUGGGAACUCUAGUGAAACUGCCUACGCAAGUAGUGAGGAAGGUGGGGAUGACGUCAAAUCAGCACGGCCCUUACGUCCAGGGCUACACACGUGCUACAAUGGCCGGUACAAAGGGCAGCUACUUGGUGACAAGAUGCUAAUCUCAAAAACCGGUCUCAGUUCGGAUCGAAGUCUGCAACUCGACUUCGUGAAGUUGGAUUCGCUAGUAAUCGUAUAUCAGCAAUGAUACGGUGAAUACGUUCCCGGGCCUUGUACACACCGCCCGUCA